RNAcentral lists this ribosomal RNA (502 nucleotides) under uncultured bacterium. Its description in RNAcentral is "bacterial SSU rRNA". It matches the Rfam family "Bacterial small subunit ribosomal RNA", at positions 1014 to 1516 of the family's 1533-position model. The record is from RNAcentral.
UUUCCUUCGGGACAGCAGAGACAGGUGGUGCAUGGUUGUCGUCAGCUCGUGUCGUGAGAUGUUGGGUUAAGUCCCGCAACGAGCGCAACCCUUAUCCUCAGUAGCCAGCAUUACGGAUGGGAACUCUGGGGAGACUGCCGGAGACAAUCCGGAGGAAGGUGGGGAUGACGUCAAAUCAUCAUGCCCCUUAUGACUUGGGCUACACACGUGCUACAAUGGUGGUACCAAAGUGAAGCGACCCCGUGAGGGUGAGCCAACCACAGAAAAGCCAUCUCAGUUCGGAUUGUAGUCUGCAACCCGACUACAUGAAGCUGGAAUCGCUAGUAAUCGCAGAUCAGAAUGCUGCGGUGAAUACGUUCCCGGGUCUUGUACACACCGCCCGUCACACCAUGGGAGUUGGAAAUGCCCGAAGCCAGUGACCCAACCGCAAGGAGGGAGCUGUCGAAGGUGGAGCCGAUGACUGGGGUGAAGUCGUAACAAGGUAGCCGUAUCGGAAGGUGCG